CAGGCGGGCCGGGCCCCUCUGGCGCGGCAUCCUUGGGUGAAAACCCUGAAGGGUGCGGCGUGAUGUCGGACCGCAUCG
Molecule: non-coding RNA, 78 nt
Organism: Sphingomonadales bacterium BRH_c42
Lineage: Bacteria; Pseudomonadati; Pseudomonadota; Alphaproteobacteria; Sphingomonadales
Source: Rfam